CAAUAGCGUAUAUUAAAGUUGUUGCGGUUAAAAAGCUCGUAGUUGGAUUUCUGCCGAGGACGACCGGUCCGCCCUCUGGGUGAGUAUCUGGCUCGGCCUGGGCAUCUUCUUGGAGAACGUAGCUGCACUUGACUGUGUGGUGCGGUAUCCAGGACUUUUACUUUGAGGAAAUUAGAGUGUUCCAAGCAGGCUUACGCCUUGAAUACAUUAGCAUGGAAUAAUAAGAUAGGACCUCGGUUCUAUUUUGUUGGUUUCUAGAGCUGAGGUAAUGAUUAAUAGGGAUAGUUGGGGGCAUUCGUAUUUAACUGUCAGAGGCGAAAUUCUUGGAUUUGUUAAAGACGGACUACUGCGAAAGCAUUUGCCAAGGAUGUUUUCAUUGA
This 380-nucleotide ribosomal RNA is filed under the name uncultured eukaryote. Its description in RNAcentral is "partial 18S ribosomal RNA". It matches the Rfam family "Eukaryotic small subunit ribosomal RNA", at positions 592 to 976 of the family's 1831-position model. The record is from RNAcentral.